GCUCACCUAGCUCAGUUGGUAGAGCACUUCCUUGGUAAGGAAGAGGUCGCCGGUUCAAGUCCGGUGGUGAGCU
Molecule: transfer RNA, 73 nt
Filed under: hydrothermal vent metagenome
Description: tRNA-Thr-GGT
Rfam family: tRNA
About the family: Transfer RNA (tRNA) molecules are approximately 80 nucleotides in length. Their secondary structure includes four short double-helical elements and three loops (D, anti-codon, and T loops).
Source: RNAcentral